This 429-nucleotide ribosomal RNA is filed under the name Bacteroidota bacterium. RNAcentral describes it as "Bacteroidetes bacterium partial 16S ribosomal RNA". It matches the Rfam family "Bacterial small subunit ribosomal RNA", at positions 355 to 776 of the family's 1533-position model. The record is from RNAcentral. Lineage: Bacteria; Pseudomonadati; Bacteroidota.
UAGGGAAUCUUCCGCAAUGGACGCAAGUCUGACGGAGCAACGCCGCGUGAGUGAAGAAGGAUUUCGGUUCGUAAAACUCUGUUGUUAGAGAAGAACAGCGCAUAGAGUAACUGUUAUGCGUGUGACGGUAUCUAACCAGAAAGCCACGGCUAACUACGUGCCAGCAGCCGCGGUAAUACGUAGGUGGCAAGCGUUGUCCGGAUUUAUUGGGCGUAAAGCGAGCGCCGGCGGUCAAUUAAGUCUGAUGUGAAAGCCCCCGGCUCAACCGGGGAGGGUCAUUGGAAACUGGUUGACUUGAGUGCAGAAGAGGAGAGUGGAAUUCCAUGUGUAGCGGUGAAAUUCGUAGAUAUAUGGAGGAACACCAGUGGCGAAGGCGACUCUCUGGUCUGUAACUGACGCUGAGGUUCGAAAGCGUGGGUAGCAAACAGG